This 253-nucleotide ribosomal RNA is filed under the name uncultured bacterium. RNAcentral's name for it is "partial 16S ribosomal RNA". It matches the Rfam family "Bacterial small subunit ribosomal RNA", at positions 524 to 776 of the family's 1533-position model. The record is from RNAcentral.
UACGUAGGGUCCGAGCGUUGUCCGGAAUUACUGGGCGUAAAGAGCUCGUAGGUGGUUUGUCGCGUUGUUCGUGAAAACUCACAGCUUAACUGUGGGCGUGCGGGCGAUACGGGCAGACUUGAGUACUGCAGGGGAGACUGGAAUUCCUGGUGUAGCGGUGGAAUGCGCAGAUAUCAGGAGGAACACCGGUGGCGAAGGCGGCUAUCUGGGCUGCAACUGACGCUGAGGCGCGAAGGCUAGGGUAGCAAACAGG